CAAAGAAGAAGAAGAGGAAGAAGACGU
Molecule: small RNA, 27 nt
Filed under: Arabidopsis thaliana (thale cress)
Lineage: Eukaryota; Viridiplantae; Streptophyta; Magnoliopsida; Brassicales; Brassicaceae
Description: ATSL136110
Source: RNAcentral